Molecule: ribosomal RNA, 253 nt
Filed under: uncultured bacterium
Lineage: Bacteria
Description: partial 16S ribosomal RNA
Rfam family: Bacterial small subunit ribosomal RNA
Source: RNAcentral
UACAGAGGUCUCAAGCGUUGUUCGGAUUCAUUGGGCGUAAAGGGUGCGUAGGCGGCGGGGCAAGUCUGAUGUGAAAUCCCGGGGCUCAACCCCGGAACUGCAUUGGAUACUGCUCUGCUUGAGCACUGGAGAGGAGACUGGAAUUUACGGUGUAGCAGUGAAAUGCGUAGAGAUCGUAAGGAAGACCAGUGGCGAAGGCGGGUCUCUGGACCGAGACUGACGCUGAGGCGCGAAAGCGUGGGGAGCAAACAGG